This 250-nucleotide ribosomal RNA is filed under the name uncultured bacterium. Its description in RNAcentral is "partial 16S ribosomal RNA". It matches the Rfam family "Bacterial small subunit ribosomal RNA", at positions 524 to 773 of the family's 1533-position model. The record is from RNAcentral.
UACGAAGGGGGCUAGCGUUGUUCGGAAUUACUGGGCGUAAAGCGCGCGUAGGCGGAUUGUUAAGUCAGGGGUGAAAUCCCGAGGCUCAACCUCGGAACUGCCUUUGAUACUGGCGAUCUUGAGUCCGGGAGAGGUGAGUGGAAUUCCUAGUGUAGAGGUGAAAUUCGUAGAUAUUAGGAAGAACACCAGUGGCGAAGGCGGCUCACUGGCCCGGUACUGACGCUCAUGUGCGAAAGCGUGGGGAGCAAAC